AUUGAACGCUGGCGGCAGGCCUAACACAUGCAAGUCGAACGGUAGCACAGAGAGCUUGCUCUCGGGUGACGAGUGGCGGACGGGUGAGUAACGUCUGGGAAACUGCCCGAUGGAGGGGGAUAACUACUGGAAACGGUAGCUAAUACCGCAUAACGGCGCAAGACCAAAGUGGGGGACCUGCCGGCCUCACACCAUCGGAUGUGCCCAGAGGGGAUUAGCUAGUAGGUGGGGUAAUGGCUCACCUAGGCGACGAUCCCUAGCUGGUCUGAGAGGAUGACCAGGCACACUGGAACUGAGACACGGUACAGACUCCUACGGGAGGCAGCAGUGGGGAAUAUUGCACAAUGGGCGCAAGCAUGAUGCAGCCAUGCCGCGUGUAUGAAGAAGGCCUUCGGGUUGUAAAGUACUUUCAGCGGGGAGGAAGGCGGUGAAGUUAAUAACUUCACCGAUUGACGUUACCCGCAGAAGAAGCACCGGCUAACUCCGUGCCAGCCGCCGCCGUAA
RNAcentral lists this ribosomal RNA (504 nucleotides) under uncultured bacterium. RNAcentral describes it as "partial 16S ribosomal RNA". It matches the Rfam family "Bacterial small subunit ribosomal RNA", at positions 29 to 523 of the family's 1533-position model. The record is from RNAcentral.